GAUGAACGCUGACAGAAUGCUUAACACAUGCAAGUCAACUUGAAUUUGGGUUUUUUCACUUAGAUUUGGGUGGCGGACGGGUGAGUAACGCGUAAAGAACUUGCCUCACAGCUAGGGACAACAUUUGGAAACGAAUGCUAAUACCUGAUAUUAUGAUUAUAAGGCAUCUUAGAAUUAUGAAAGCUAUAUGCGCUGUGAGAGAGCUUUGCGUCCCAUUAGCUAGUUGGAGAGGUAACGGCUCACCAAGGCGAUGAUGGGUAGCCGGCCUGAGAGGGUGAACGGCCACAAGGGGACUGAGACACGGCCCUUACUCCUACGGGAGGCAGCAGUGGGGAAUAUUGGACAAUGGACCAAGAGUCUGAUCCAGCAAUCCUGUGUGCACGAUGACGUUUUUCGGAAUGUAAAGUGCUUUCAGUUGGGAAGAAAAAAAUGACGGUACCAACAGAAGAAGUGACGGCUAAAUACGUG
Molecule: ribosomal RNA, 468 nt
Filed under: uncultured bacterium
Lineage: Bacteria
Description: partial 16S ribosomal RNA
Rfam family: Bacterial small subunit ribosomal RNA
Source: RNAcentral